Molecule: ribosomal RNA, 464 nt
Filed under: uncultured bacterium
Lineage: Bacteria
Description: partial 16S ribosomal RNA
Rfam family: Bacterial small subunit ribosomal RNA
Source: RNAcentral
GACGAACGCUGGCGGCGUGCUUAACACAUGCAAGUCGAACGGAAAGGCCCUGCUUGCAGGGUACUCGAGUGGCGAACGGGUGAGUAACACGUGGGUGAUCUGCCCUGCACUUCGGGAUAAGCCUGGGAAACUGGGUCUAAUACCGGAUAGGAGCCAUUUUUAGUGUGAUGGUUGGAAAGUUUUUCGGUGUAGGAUGAGCUCGCGGCCUAUCAGCUUGUUGGUGGGGUAAUGGCCUACCAAGGCGGCGACGGGUAGCCGGCCUGAGAGGGUGGACGGCCACAUUGGGACUGAGAUACGGCCCAGACUCCUACGGGAGGCAGCAGUGGGGAAUAUUGCACAAUGGGCGCAAGCCUGAUGCAGCGACGCCGCGUGGGGGAUGACGGCCUUCGGGUUGUAAACUCCUUUCGCUAGGGACGAAGCUUUUUGUGACGGUACCUAGAUAAGAAGCACCGGCUAACUAUGUG